AACGAACGCUGGCGGCAGGCUUAACACAUGCAAGUCGAACGACCUCUUCGGAGGGAGUGGCAGACGGGUGAGUAACGCGUGGAAACAUGCCCUUCUCUACGGAAUAGCCCUUGGAAACGAGGUGUAAUACCGUAUACGCCCUUAGGGGGAAAGAUUUAUCGGAGAAGGAUUGGUCCGCGUUAGAUUAGUUUGUUGGUGGGGUAAUGGCCUACCAAGACUACGAUCUAUAGCUGAUUUGAGAGGAUGAUCAGCCACACUGGAACUGAGACACGGUCCAGACUCCUACGGGAGGCAGCAGUGGGGAAUCUUGGACAAUGGGGGAAACCCUGAUCCAGCCAUGCCGCGUGAAUGAUGAAGGCCUUAGGGUUGUAAAAUUCUUUCACCGGGGAAGAUAAUGACGGUACCCGGAGAAGAAGCUCCGGCUAACUUCG
RNAcentral lists this ribosomal RNA (431 nucleotides) under uncultured Hirschia sp. RNAcentral describes it as "bacterial SSU rRNA". It matches the Rfam family "Bacterial small subunit ribosomal RNA", at positions 29 to 505 of the family's 1533-position model. Lineage: Bacteria; Pseudomonadati; Pseudomonadota; Alphaproteobacteria; Hyphomonadales; Hyphomonadaceae. The record is from RNAcentral.